UACAGAGGUCCCAAGCGUUGUUCGGAUUCACUGGGCGUAAAGGGUGCGUAGGCGGCGAGGUAAGUCGGAUGUGAAAGCUCGGAGCUCAACUCCGAAAUGGCAUUGGAAACUACCUUGCUCGAGGGUUGGAGGGGGGACUGGAAUUCUCGGUGUAGCAGUGAAAUGCGUAGAUAUCGAGAGGAACACCAGUGGCGAAGGCGAGUCCCUGGACAACUCCUGACACUGAGGCACGAAAGCUAGGGGAGCAAACAGG
This 253-nucleotide ribosomal RNA is filed under the name uncultured bacterium. RNAcentral describes it as "partial 16S ribosomal RNA". It matches the Rfam family "Bacterial small subunit ribosomal RNA", at positions 524 to 776 of the family's 1533-position model. The record is from RNAcentral.